AUUCCAGCUCCAGUAGCGUAUAUUAAAGUUGUUGCAGUUAAAAAGCUCGUAGUUGGAUUUCUGGCAAGGCAGAGCUAACCUGGUACUAUGUAUCGUGUGUUGGACUCGGUCUGCCAUCCUUCCAGAAAAGCAUCAUACCCUUCAUUGGGCCGUGGUGAUAGAUCUGGAACUUUUACUUUGAAAAAAUUAGAGUGUUCAAAGCAGGCGUUACGCUAUGAAUACAUUAGCAUGGAAUAAUAAUUUAGGACUUCAGUUCUAUUUUGUUGGUUUCUAGGACCGAAGUAAUGAUUGAUAGGGAUAGUUGGGGGUGCUAGUAUUCAGCGGCCAGAGGUGAGAUUCUUGGAUUCGCUGAAGACUAACUUAUGCGAAAGCAUUCACCAAGGAUGUCUUCAUCA
RNAcentral lists this ribosomal RNA (395 nucleotides) under Marimonadida sp. Its description in RNAcentral is "partial small subunit ribosomal RNA". It matches the Rfam family "Eukaryotic small subunit ribosomal RNA", at positions 582 to 975 of the family's 1831-position model. Lineage: Eukaryota; Cercozoa; Imbricatea; Marimonadida. The record is from RNAcentral.